GAGUUUGAUCCUGGCUCAGAGCGAACGCUGGCGGCAGGCCUAAUACAUGCAAGUCGAACGGCUCUUCGGAGCAGUGGCGGACGGGUGAGUAACGCGUGGGAACGUGCCCUUUGGUUCGGAACAACACAGGGAAACUUGUGCUAAUACCGGAUGUGCCCUUCGGGGGAAGAUUUAUCGCCAUUGGAGCGGCCCGCGUUGGAUUAGCUAGUUGGUGGGGUAAUGGCCCACCAAGGCGACGAUCCAUAGCUGGUCUGAGAGGAUGAUCAGCCACACUGGGACUGAGACACGGCCCAGACUCCUACGGGAGGCAGCAGUAGGGAAUCUUGCGCAAUGGGCGAAAGCCUGACGCAGCCAUGCCGCGUGAAUGAUGAAGGUCUUAGGAUUGUAAAAUUCUUUCACCGGGGAAGAUAAUGACGGUACCCGGAGAAGAAGCCCCGGCUAACUUCGUGCCAGCCGCCGCGGU
This 463-nucleotide ribosomal RNA is filed under the name uncultured Alphaproteobacteria bacterium. RNAcentral's name for it is "bacterial SSU rRNA". It matches the Rfam family "Bacterial small subunit ribosomal RNA", at positions 9 to 521 of the family's 1533-position model. Lineage: Bacteria; Pseudomonadati; Pseudomonadota; Alphaproteobacteria. The record is from RNAcentral.